UGAUAAGACGGGAUAAAAGCUUUAUAGC
This 28-nucleotide small RNA is filed under the name Bombyx mori (domestic silkworm). RNAcentral describes it as "ovarian small RNA-32343". The record is from RNAcentral. Lineage: Eukaryota; Metazoa; Arthropoda; Insecta; Lepidoptera; Bombycidae.